GAUGAACGCUGGCGGCGUGCCUAAUACAUGCAAGUCGAGCGAACGGACGAUAAGCUUGCUUCUCUGAUGUUAGCGGCGGACGGGUGAGUAACACGUGGAUAACCUACCUAUAAGACUGGGAUAACUUCGGGAAACCGGAGCUAAUACCGGAUGAUAUUUUGAACCGCAUGGUUCAAAAGUGAAAGACGGUCUUGCUGUCACUUAUAGAUGGAUCCGCGCUGCAUUAGCUAGUUGGUAAGGUAACGGCUUACCAAGGCAACGAUGCAUAGCCGACCUUAGAGGGUGAUCGGCCACACUGGAACUGAGACACGGUCCAGACUCCUACGGGAGGCAGCAGUAGGGAAUCUUCCGCAAUGGGCGAAAGCCUGACGGAGCAACGCCGCGUGAGUGAUGAAGGUCUUCGGAUCGUAAAACUCUGUUAUUAGGGAAGAACAUAUGUGUAAGUAACUGUGCACAUCUUGACGGUACCUAAUCAGAAAGCCACGGCUAACUACGUG
Molecule: ribosomal RNA, 497 nt
Filed under: uncultured bacterium
Lineage: Bacteria
Description: partial 16S ribosomal RNA
Rfam family: Bacterial small subunit ribosomal RNA
Source: RNAcentral